AAGUAACCAUUUCUUCCUAUAUACAUAAAAAUGUUAGGUAGUUAUUUCACUGUCAUUAAAGGAUUUGUAGUGCCUCAUCACAAACCUGGAUUUGCAGGAAGUCAGAAUGCAGCCCUCAUUUUAAGCAGAUUUUAUAUGUGUCUAUUGUUUUAACUCUAUCAAUGUUUAAUUGUAUUUUAAUGGUUGAUUUUUUUUAUGUUUUUAACAGUUAUUGUUUUAUCUGUAAGUUGCCUUGAGUCCCAUCAAAGGAAAAGGCAGGGUAUAAAUAAAUAUAUAACAAUAAUACUUGGAGGAUUUGUAGUGCUUUAUCACAAGCCUGGAUUUGCAUGGGGUAGGGGAGUAAAAGAGAAGGCAGGUUGCACAACACCAGUCACCAUGGCAUGGGAGAGGGAAGGGAGGGAUACUGACAAGGAAAAACAGCAGCAGAACUUCCUGUAAAGCAGGGGUGGUGGGAACAAAGAGAAAAAUAAAAGUUUUAAAUAACAGCAGAGGUUGAGUAAAACAUGGAUGGAGACAAACUUAGAGAAGAAACGAGACAAUUUUAACAGUAGCCGAUGUUUGAGAAGAGUGAGCAGGGGUAACAUGGGGGAAAGUGGCUGUUGAAAGCAGUGUUUGAGUACAGUGAGAAGGGAGUUGGGAAAGUCUUGAUCUGUUAUCUUUUUGAUGUUAGUUUCUGUGUUGUGCCCAUCUCUGCUGUUUGUUAAAGCUGGUUUGUUCCCCCUCCCCCAUUCCUGCUUUACUCAAUCUUCAGCCAUUGUUUAAAACCACAAUUUUCAUCUCUGUUUUCUUUCACCCCAGCUUUACUCAAACUUCUGCUGUUGAAUGAAUUUAGCAAGCAGAGUGAAACACUGAAAGAGGGGGAAAUGGCACAUUUUAAACGACUCCCUCUUCCAUUCAGCUGCCUCAUGUGAGAGAGAUAAAGGAUGUGGAACCCUCAAAUAUUCCAUAGUACCUUCCCACAGUCAUAUAUUUCACUCCUGCUACCAUGUGUUGUCUUCAACAUGACGUUCCAGAUUUAGUGCCAUCAUUCAUAAGAGAUACUUGUUAGUACAGUAUUUAUUCUGCAUGACUACACUGAAUCUGGAACUUCAUGUUGUACACCCAUAUAUGUACAACAUCCAUCAAGUGAACUUAACAUUUUCUAACUGAAUAAGCUAAUGGACAAACUUGCUCUUAAGUUUCUAUUAAUAUUAAAGAUAAAGUACCAUAUAUGAACAUGACGUGUGUGCAAAGAAGCUUCAGAAAAGGAAAGAGGACGUGGCAUAAAAAUGGGGUUGGUAUGUGUACAGGUGGAGAGAAGGAGAUAGGAAAAAGGGGGGUAAAUGUGAUAAUGGGGUAUGUGUGCAAAGCAGGCUGCACAAUAGGAGAGAGGAAAAGGCAUGAAAAUGGGUGAGAUGUGUGCAAGGUAGAGUUGAGAAGAGUGAGGCGGUGGGUGGAGGAAAAGGGAAAGUGAAAAGCUGAGUGUCUUGAGGGUGCUGAUGGCAUCUUGACCUCAAACUUCUAAUGACCGCUCCCAACAGCUUCAUGUCAAUUAAAUUUGUGUUGAUUAAACGGCAUUAAGGAUAGAAUAGUGCCCUGUGGCACAUCAUAGCAUAACUUCCAGGGAGCUGAAAAGCACUCUCCCAGUGCUACUGUAUGGACUCAGUCUCAUUUGUAGGCCCCAAAACACUGUAAUACAGUGCCCCCAAUUCCCAUAUUGCACUCCCCUUAUCCCUCUCUGUAAUUGUCAUCCAUCAGAGUAAUCAAGGCCAGCACAGUGCCAUUACCAGCUCAGAACCAAGACUGGAACAGGUCUAAAAAAAUCCAUAUUAUCCAAGAAUGGUUGCAGCUGCCCCAUCAUAAUUCUUUCUGUCACUUUCCCCAUGAAAGAGGUUUUUAUGAUUGGUCAAUAGUCCUUCCUGGCCAAGGGUUCCAGGACUGGUUUCUUUAGGAGAGGCCCCACCACUGCCUCUUUCAAGGCAGCAACAAGCACCCACGCACACAAUGAAACAUUAGCCACACUCUGGACGCAUUCAGUCAAACCAGCAUGCUAGCUGCAUAACUAUGCUUUGAUAUAUUUUAUUUUAUGGUGGUAUAAAAAUACUUUUAUUAAUAAAUAAAGAAAUAGAAGCAAUCAUUUCUUACUAUGGUGAUUUUUGUAAUA
This is a long non-coding RNA of Podarcis raffonei (Aeolian wall lizard), 2143 nucleotides long. RefSeq lists it as uncharacterized. The transcript has 2 exons. The record is from RefSeq and is a predicted model, not a curated record. Lineage: Eukaryota; Metazoa; Chordata; Lepidosauria; Squamata; Lacertidae.